AUGAAAGAUUUCAAAGGCAAUAGCCAUUGCUCCAAAAUAGCUUGGUUAAUGUUUGCAGACUGGUUCAGCUCUUUUCUCCCUCCUGCCUGUCAAAAAGGUGCUAUUCCUGUGAUUAAAACCAUUACAGUCCUUCAAAGGUUAUACAUGACUUUCAGGCUUCAGCCUCAAUAGCAGCAGAUCUGGCCUAGAUGCUGUGAUUGGAAAAGCCGUGCUGUAUAAUUUCACAAUAAUUACUUAUUGUAUUCCACUGCCUUGGCUGAGAGACAAAGGAAGAAAGAGAAGACCGUUGCUGAGGGACAUCUUGAGACUACCUGUGGCCAAAGUGAUGGAUGAGGCCCAUCCUUGGCCAAAGGGAAGCCAUUUAGCAGAAUCUGGGAAUCACGUCCCUGUACACCAUGGUUCCUGAUGCUUGGUUUCCCUCUUCUUUCAUUCCUAUUAACCUAGAUGUCUCAACUUUACCUUUCAGAUAAUUGGCUGAAUAUGUUGUCCUCGUAUCAAUGAUCUAUAUAAAACCAGCAAGCCAUGAGAUGAACAGCACACAGCAAACAACACAGCAAAGUGAUCUCUAUUUAGCACCGCGCCCUCAAAAUGUCAUCUCUGUAAGACAUAUGAGCUAAUCCACUUGUACUAUGUUUCUUAUCUUCCAUCGGUAAAUAUACCGGGUCACCAUUUAGCUGUGAUAAUACGUAGUUUCUGAAUGCUAUAACCUAAAGGAAGUUAAGUUGAUGCCAUCAAAACAUUUACUGUGGUGGUGUCAGGGUGUGAUAAACUCACCUAUCAAAUGCAGAAACGCUUGACACAAUUUCAAAACCACGAGUCUAGUCAACUGAUUUAAAAAUGAUUGAUUACGUAAAAUUAAUCAAACCAGUGAUUUUAUGGAAUUUAAGCAGACAGCACAGCUAAUGAAAUUUAUAGGUUAUUCCCCUAUAAACAUUAAUGUAGCAAAUCGUGUGCCCCUUCGUUUCUUCAAGAUCCAAAGUUUCCUUAACUAAGUGGAGGCUGCAGAAACUGGCUUUUUAUACAAUUAAUGUUCCACAACCAGAUGAGACUUUCUAACUGAAAAGGUUGGAACAUUUUCUAUCUUCUUCCAGCCAUAACUAUCACUGAAAUCUAUUGCAUUCAUGAUAUACUGUGGAUCAGAACAACAUACAAAGUUCCACACUCUCAGAGCCUGAUACAGAGGAAACAGAAAGCUGUGAUUUACUCAGAGAAGUCCUAGGGAAACAAUUUCUCCUAAGGAAAUAUAUUUUUAAAACCUUCCAUUAUAACUCAUCCAAAAAGAAGCUAUUGAGCAUUGAACACUUUAUAAAGUACUAAUAUCUUUACCUAUAUUAUUUUACAUAAAUCUUUCAAGGCAGAUAAUAUCACCAUUUUCCAAACAAGGAGACUGAGGUUUAUAGAAAUUAAAUUAUUUUCUCAAGUGGUAGAGCCAAGAUUUGAAUCCAGGUCUAAAUCCUGCAUUUGUAUUGUAAUGGUUGUAAAAUUUGUGCCGGCAGAGCCACGUAAUUACUUAAUCUGGGCCGUGGUUUCCUCGCCUGUAAAGUGGACCUAACACUGGCACCUAACAGGGUUUCUGAACCUCAGCACGAUUGACUGUGGGUUAGAUGACGCUUUGCUGGAGGGGCUGUCCUAUGCCCUGAAGGAUAGGUGGCAGCAUCCCUGGGCUCUCCGCUCGCUAGAUGCCACUAGCUCAGCCCGCACAAUUGUGACAACCCAACCGAAAAUGGCUCCAGACAUUGCCUAAUGUCCCCUGGAGAGUAAAAUCACUGGUUGAGAACCACCGACCUAAAUUAAAGGAUAGCUGUGAAGAGCCCAUCAGUGAAUACAUACAAAGAGUCUCAGAGUAUGUCUGGCCCAGAAUAUUUAAUGUUAGAUAGGCUGGUGGUGAAGGAGAAGGAGGAGGGAAGGAGGGGGAAGAGAAGAAGUAGUAGCCGUAGUAGGGAGAGCAGGAGGGGGAGAGGAAGGAGGAGAAAAGGAAGAAGAAGAAAUAUACUUGCAUCUGACUAAAUUGUAUUGACGUUUUAUUCAGGCCUGACUGGGUGGAUAUAAUUGAAAAACUCAGAGUUGAUCAGAAAGAAAAUAAAAUUUAAAAAGACAGGUAAGCUUCUAUCUUUUAGGAUUAUUUCAGGAAAAUUUCCAUAAUCCUUUUUCUUUUUUUAUGAAGUAAAAAUGUUUUACAUAUAAGGUUACAUAUUAAACAGCCAAAUAAAUAUUUGCUUAGUGUAAUGUUUCUACACAUCAGCCUAGACCAAAUACCAUAUUGAAGUCUAUGUCCAGAUUUGAAUAGAUGGAACAUCCAUCACUUAAAAGAGUAUUAUAAAUACUAUUUUUUCCUUAGGAUAAUUAACCUUGAAAUGAUUUUAUCCUUGAGAACAUUCGUCAUGGAUUAAUACAUUUACUAAUGAAUGUUACAGCUGUGAUUAGCGUGUUGAGAUUAUAAAUGAAAUUAAACUACAAAAUAUGUCUUACCUAAAGUCUUAACAGGAUCAGAGUAAUCAGAGUCAGUAAAUUGUCCCAUGACAUUUGUGGCUCUAAAUUUAAAUCUAUGAAAUAAAAAACAACAACAAUUUACAUACCAUAUGACUUUUUUUUUCUAUGAAUAAUUUAACAAAUGGCUGUGAAAAAGACAUUUUUGUUAAAGAGAAAAUUAACUUACAAAGUGUAUACUUGGAAAUCAAUCACCAUCAGGACAAAUAAAUAAUAUCUUUACGUGAAAUUAUCUUGUACAUGGACCUCUUGAACUUCAUGACAGAGUGACCAAAAAUUUGACCAGACUUAUGAAUAGUCAGCACGUUAAUCAAAUGAAGUAGAUCACCUCCUUCAUAGAUUUAUUUGGAUGAAACCACUGAAUGUCUGCACAAGCACACUUUAUAAAUAUAAAGCAUAAUAACUGUUAUACCUCAGCCACCUUUGAAAAUGCCAAUAAGCCAGAUUUAGAAUAGUCAUAUAAAACUUAUCCUGUUCAAAUAUAAACAAAUGAAGAACAAUGCUUCUUAAUUCUGAGUGUGCACAGCUGUAUUUUCACUUUCUGUGCUUUCAAGACAUAUGAAAUACAAAAUGGAUGCAGAAGAAAAUCAAUCUUAAAAAUCACUGGAUGAUUCUGUCACCACAGAGACAACCGAAAUUUACCUUAUUUUAAAACUAUGGGACUUCCCUGGUGGCACAGUGGUUAAGAAUCCACCUGCCAAUGUAGGGGACAUGGGUUCAAGCCCCAGUCCAGGAAGAUCCCACAGGCCUUGGACCAACUAAGCCCGUGCACCACAACUACUGAGCCUGUGCUUUAGAGAUCACGAGCCACAACUACUGAGGCUGCAUGCCACAACUACUGAAGUCCGUGCUCCUAGAGUCCAUGCUCUGCAACAAGAGAAGCCACCGUGGUGAGAAGCCCGUGCACCGCAACAAAGAGUAGCCCCCGCUCGCCACAACUAGAGAAAGCCCGCGGGCAGCAACGAAGACCCAACGCAACCAAAAAUAAAUAAACUUAUUUAAAAAAAGAAAUCUGUGCUCUUUAAAAAAACAAAACUAUGAACCUACAAGAAUUUUAAAA
Long non-coding RNA from Balaenoptera acutorostrata (minke whale), 3547 nucleotides. RefSeq lists it as uncharacterized. The record is from RefSeq and is a predicted model, not a curated record. Lineage: Eukaryota; Metazoa; Chordata; Mammalia; Artiodactyla; Balaenopteridae. The transcript is spliced from 3 exons.